RNAcentral lists this ribosomal RNA (207 nucleotides) under uncultured bacterium. Its description in RNAcentral is "partial 16S ribosomal RNA". It matches the Rfam family "Bacterial small subunit ribosomal RNA", at positions 568 to 774 of the family's 1533-position model. The record is from RNAcentral.
CAUGUAGGCGGUUCGUCGCGUCCGGUGUGAAAGUCCAUCGCUUAACGGUGGAUCCGCGCCGGGUACGGGCGGGCUUGAGUGCGGUAGGGGAGACUGGAAUUCCCGGUGUAACGGUGGAAUGUGUAGAUAUCGGGAAGAACACCAAUGGCGAAGGCAGGUCUCUGGGCCGUCACUGACGCUGAGGAGCGAAAGCGUGGGGAGCGAACA